UGAGGAAUAUUGCCCAAUGGAGGAAACUCUGAGGCAGCAACGCCGCGUGAACGAUGACGGCCUUCGGGUUGUAAAGUUCUUUUCUCAGGGAAGAUAAUGACGGUACCUGAGGAAUAAGUCCCGGCUAACUACGUGCCAGCAGCCGCGGUAAAACGUAGGGGACAAGCGUUAUCCGGAUUUACUGGGCGUAAAGCGCCCGUAGGCGGCUUUUUAAGUUGGACGUGAAAGCUCCCGGCUUAACUGGGAGAGGCCGUUCAAAACUGAGAAGCUCGAGUGAGGAAGAGGAGAGCAGAAUUCCCGGUGUAGUGGUGGAAUGCGUAGAGAUCGGGAGGAAUACCAGUGGCGAAAGCGGCUCUCUGGUCCUAAACUGACGCUGAGGGGCGAAAGCGUGGGGAGCGAACGGG
Molecule: ribosomal RNA, 404 nt
Filed under: uncultured bacterium
Lineage: Bacteria
Description: bacterial SSU rRNA
Rfam family: Bacterial small subunit ribosomal RNA
Source: RNAcentral